Hyaena hyaena (striped hyena) is the source of this 520-nucleotide long non-coding RNA. RefSeq lists it as uncharacterized. The record is from RefSeq and is a predicted model, not a curated record. The transcript has 4 exons. Lineage: Eukaryota; Metazoa; Chordata; Mammalia; Carnivora; Hyaenidae.
CAUAAACACCUGCAAAGGUACGCAAAGGUACAGUUCAGAGCUCCACCAUCCUCCACCUGACUCUACCAGGGAUUAGCUGGAUGGCCCUGGCCUCUGCGGACUGGCCAUGGAUGCUUCAGAGGGAUGUGCUCUCUACCUUCCGAACAGCACAGCCGUCAUGUCCUGAGAUAUCAUGAGUGUUGACGGCAGACGAUAGGAGAAGUGGAAGGUGGAAGGGUGUCCCACUAUGUGAGGAGUGCAGGGGGAAAGCCCUUUAGAAGCCAGACCAAGCCAGGAAACUUCUCAACUGAUCAUCAGGGGAGCCUGGAUUAUUAAUGACCACCAAGGCAAAUAUACAGAAUGGGCUCUGCUUCUCAGGAGAUCAUAGCCAAGUUUUGUGAGUUCUUUGAUAUCUGCCAGAAGAAAAAGCCAUUGGUACAUGGUGAUCCCUGCAUGAGAUUUCAGGUGAGAUGGCCCACUCAGGGGAGGAGGGCAGAACCUGGGUGCCCAACCUGACGGGCAGCACGAGGGCAAAGGAAGG